This 253-nucleotide ribosomal RNA is filed under the name uncultured bacterium. Its description in RNAcentral is "partial 16S ribosomal RNA". It matches the Rfam family "Bacterial small subunit ribosomal RNA", at positions 524 to 776 of the family's 1533-position model. The record is from RNAcentral.
UACAGAGGUCUCAAGCGUUGUUCGGAUUCAUUGGGCGUAAAGGGUGCGUAGGUGGCGCCGUAAGUCAGGUGUGAAAUUUCGGAGCUUAACCCCGAAACUGCAUUUGAUACUGCGGUGCUUGAGGACUGGAGAGGAGACUGGAAUUCACGGUGUAGCAGUGAAAUGCGUAGAUAUCGUGAGGAAGACCAGUGGCGAAGGCGGGUCUCUGGACAGUUCCUGACACUGAGGCACGAAGGCUAGGGGAGCAAACGGG